Molecule: non-coding RNA, 31 nt
Filed under: Mus musculus (house mouse)
Lineage: Eukaryota; Metazoa; Chordata; Mammalia; Rodentia; Muridae
Source: RNAcentral
UUGGCUUUGCAAGAGCUGUAGUGUCCUCCCA